CUAUAUAUACCCUGUAGAACCGAAUUUGUGUGGUCUCCUCAUAGUCACAGAUUCGAUUCUAGGGGAAUAUAUGGU
RNAcentral lists this microRNA precursor (75 nucleotides) under Erinaceus europaeus (western European hedgehog). Its description in RNAcentral is "mir-10 microRNA precursor family". It matches the Rfam family "mir-10 microRNA precursor family". Rfam says of the family: In this case the mature sequence comes from the 5' arm of the precursor. The extents of the hairpin precursors are not generally known and are estimated based on hairpin prediction. The products are thought to have regulatory roles through complementarity to mRNA. The record is from Rfam by way of RNAcentral. Lineage: Eukaryota; Metazoa; Chordata; Mammalia; Eulipotyphla; Erinaceidae.